GCCCGCAGACCUGGGCCUCGCACCUCGCGCCCGGAUGCCGCUCUCUCCCCGCGCGGUCACCCGUUCCCUGGGAAGCAGAGUGGGCAGCUGUGGCAGAUGGGACUGAUGGGACGAGGACGACGCGUGGAAAUGACUGUGAGGGUGGACAGAGGCCUGGGAACUCUGAACGGAGAAGGUGGAAAGGGCCUUCAGCGGAAGUCCAGGUUACUUACUAAAGCGGAAUGGAAGCCAACAGAUACCAGCGUUUAUAUUUUAUUCAACUUUAUUAAAAAUUAAAA
This is a non-coding RNA of Homo sapiens (human), 278 nucleotides long. The record is from RefSeq and is a predicted model, not a curated record. Lineage: Eukaryota; Metazoa; Chordata; Mammalia; Primates; Hominidae.